Molecule: unclassified non-coding RNA, 337 nt
Filed under: soil metagenome
Description: partial contains 5.8S ribosomal RNA, internal transcribed spacer 2, and large subunit ribosomal RNA
Rfam family: 5.8S ribosomal RNA (bases 1-121)
Source: RNAcentral
GAUGAAGAACGCAGCGAAAUGCGAUAAGUAAUGCGAAUUGCAGAAUUUCCGUGAGUCAUCGAAUCUUUGAACGCACAUUGCGCCCGCCAGUAUUCUGGCGGGCAUGCCUGUUCGAGCGUCAUUUCAACCAUCAAGCCCCCGGCUUGUGUUGGGGACCUGCGGCUGCCGCAGGCCCUGAAAAGCAGUGGCGGGCUCGCUGUCACACCGAGCGUAGUAGAUUUCAUCUCGCUCAGGGCGUGCUGCGGGUUCCGGCCGUUAAACCACCUUCAUAACCCAAGGUUGACCUCGGAUCAGGUAGGAAGACCCGCUGAACUUAAGCAUAUCAAUAAGCGGAGGA